Ictidomys tridecemlineatus (thirteen-lined ground squirrel) is the source of this 907-nucleotide non-coding RNA. NCBI's taxonomy places the organism in Eukaryota, Metazoa, Chordata, Mammalia, Rodentia, Sciuridae. The record is from RefSeq and is a predicted model, not a curated record.
GCUGGUACACAGGCAUAAAAGAAGGGCUGGUCUUGUUUUUUGUCAGAAUGGAAGUUAAUACCCAUGUGAUGAGUUUUUGACGAUGAUCUAUGUUUGCUUUGGGAAUAAGUUGAUCCUUGUACAUGUGAAACUUGUCUUGGUCAUUUUCAAGAUGUAAUUUCAUAUUUGACUCAGUUAAGGAAGCUACAGAGUACCCUGUCCUGCUCCCUGAAGUCCACGAAAGCUGCUCUUCUCUGAGUGAGAUGGAAGGAGACAGAGACUGAAUGUCCAUAGUAUUAAGUGAGCUGGGAGACCAAUCAAGAGGCUGCAUUUGGAAUAUAUUUGAUCUGUAUUUCCUGCUUCUGUGCUUUUCACAGGAAGGUGGUUUCAUAAGAAACGUAUGUUUCCUACAGGCUCUAAUAUGAUGGGAGCCCAAAUCUUCCCUGCAAAAUUGCUGCAAGCUAAUUUUCACUGGUCCUCUAAAAUUCAGCUCCAGCAUAACCUUCAUGAAACCAUUCCUGAGAUCCUAAGGCUGGUGAUGUCACAGCACCACUUCAGUAGUGACAAGUUUCUAGACAUUGCCAUAUGUCCCCAGAGGGCAAAAAUCACCCCCAGCUGGAAGGCACUGGACUAGAUGAGCAGCUGCAUCAUUAAUUAAUGCCUACCAGUGAAGGCUAUAUAAUGGCUUCCAUAAUCUUUGUGAUUUCUUGGAUCCAAAACAAAAUCUGUGUAUUUAUUUCUUUGAAAACAUCAUUUGUUGACCGUCCUUUCACUGCCAUGGAAUGAUUUGCCUUCUCAAUCCAGUGGAUUUUAUUGGGAGCUUGCAUUUUCUGUGCCACUUUCUCCAACAAGUUCUAAGAGGAAAAAGAAGAGGAUACUAGACUAAUGCUGUAUUGUUUAAUAAAAGAUCCCCCCCAUACUGCAUUCA